ACUCUUCAACCCACCCUUUUCUUGAUGAAUUGGAGUUGGCGUUUGGAUUUUGAGCUCUGCUAUUAGUUUAGCUGGCUCGUAAUAAAUUAGCAUCUUCGAAUUCGUAAUCGGAUUGACUUGGCGUAAUAGAUUAUUCGCUGAGGACACUUGCAAAAGUGGCCGAGAAAAGAUGAGAGAAGCUUCAAAAUCUCUCCUAGCGAGAACUUUCAUA
RNAcentral lists this unclassified non-coding RNA (211 nucleotides) under uncultured fungus. RNAcentral's name for it is "sequence contains ITS2". The record is from RNAcentral. Lineage: Eukaryota; Fungi.